GCCUGGCUGGCUCAGUCGGUAGAGCAUAUGAUUUUUGAUCUCAGGGUCGUGAGUUUGAGCCCCUCAUUGGGCA
Molecule: transfer RNA, 73 nt
Filed under: Felis catus (domestic cat)
Lineage: Eukaryota; Metazoa; Chordata; Mammalia; Carnivora; Felidae
Also listed under: 2 other names
Rfam family: tRNA
About the family: Transfer RNA (tRNA) molecules are approximately 80 nucleotides in length.
Source: Rfam by way of RNAcentral